GAUGAACGCUGGCGGCGUGCCUAAUACAUGCAAGUCGAGCGAACGGACGAGAAGCUUGCUUUUCUGAUGUUAGCGGCGGACGGGUGAGUAACACGUGGAUAACCUACCUAUAAGACUGGGAUAACUUCGGGAAACCGGAGCUAAUACCGGAUAAUAUUUUGAACCGCAUGGUUCAAAAGUGAAAGACGGUCUUGCUGUCACUUAUAGAUGGAUCCGCGCUGCAUUAGCUAGUUGGUAAGGUAACGGCUUACCAAGGCAACGAUGCAUAGCCGACCUGAGAGGGUGAUCGGCCACACACGAACAGAGACACGCGCCACAGACCUCCAGGAGGCGGAAGAAGAGAAACUUCCGCGCUGGGCGAGAAACUGACGGGGCGAAGCGGCGCGAGAGUUGAGAAUCUUCGGAUCUUGAAACUCUGUGAUUAGGGAAGAACAUAUGUGUAAGUAACUGUGCACAUCUUGACGGUACCUAAUCAGAAAGCCACGGCUAACUACGUG
RNAcentral lists this ribosomal RNA (497 nucleotides) under uncultured bacterium. Its description in RNAcentral is "partial 16S ribosomal RNA". It matches the Rfam family "Bacterial small subunit ribosomal RNA", at positions 28 to 507 of the family's 1533-position model. The record is from RNAcentral.